Molecule: ribosomal RNA, 582 nt
Filed under: Papiliotrema laurentii
Lineage: Eukaryota; Fungi; Basidiomycota; Tremellomycetes; Tremellales; Rhynchogastremaceae
Description: LSU rRNA
Rfam family: Eukaryotic large subunit ribosomal RNA
Source: RNAcentral
GGAGGAAAAGAAACUAACAAGGAUUCCCCUAGUAACGGCGAGUGAACCGGGAAGAGCUCAAAUUUGAAAUCUGGCGUCCUCAGGGCGUCCGAGUUGUAAUCUAUAGAGGCGUUUUCCGUGCCGGACCGUGUCCAAGUUCCUUGGAACAGGAUAUCAAAGAGGGUGACAAUCCCGUACUUGACACGACGACCGGUGCUCUGUGAUACGUCUUCUACGAGUCGAGUUGUUUGGGAAUGCAGCUCAAAAUGGGUGGUGAGUUCCAUCUAAAGCUAAAUAUUGGCGAGAGACCGAUAGCGAACAAGUACCGUGAGGGAAAGAUGAAAAGCACUUUGGAAAGAGAGUUAAACAGUACGUGAAAUUGUUGAAAGGGAAACGAUUGAAGUCAGUCGUGACCGAGAGGCUCAGCCGGUUCUGCCGGUGUAUUCCCCUCGGUCGGGUCAACAUCAGUUUUGUCCGGUGGAUAAGGACGGUAGGAAGGUGGCACCCUCGGGUGUGUUAUAGCCUGCCGUCGCAUACAUCGGGUGAGACUGAGGAACGCAGCUCGCCUUUAUGGCCGGGGUUCGCCCACGUCCGAGCGUAGGA